AGGUGCAGAGAUGUGCCCAGGGUCACCCAGCUGGUAUAUUGUGGAGUCAAGAUUUAAACCCAGCAUUCAGGCUCCUGAGCCCACAAUCUCAAAUACUAAUCUGGGGACAGUGAAGGCACUGGAUCCUGGAGUUGAAGAGGAAGCCAGAUUGAGCUCUUCUAGGAGACCUCUCUGACCACCCCAGCACGCAGUGGCUUCUCCACACUCCAGGCUUCGACUUGGGACCAGCGCCUGGCCGUAUGCGGGCAGAGGGGCCAGUUGUGUGGACCACAGUGUGCACAGCGCUCUAGAGGCAGCCCCUGAGGAGAAGCCAGUGCCCCAGGUCAUGCAGUGAGUCCAGUGAAGAGCUGGAGUCUGGCACCAGAGCCCACAUUCCCCUACCCUUGAUGCCCCACGCUGCACCCCUCCCAGUGUGAGAGCCUGGAAAUGGGAGGGGUCAGAGGAACAUCUGGGGGCUAUCAUAGUUUAGCUAUGACCCUGGGGGUCAGAAGCCCUCAAAUCACGUCACUGCUAUGGCACCUCUCUGGCUUCCACAUCUUCAGCUGUAAGACAGGGGCCCUGACCCCCAUGCCCACCAGUUUGGCAAGGAGCUCAUGGAGUGUUGCCACUCCCCACUCCUCCCCAUCGUCACCCUCCUCACCUCCAGGGUCCAAGCCUGAGUCUACCACUGCCUGUGCACCCCCACCCCCACUCCCACUCCUGGGUGUCAGGCGCCCCGCCCCAGCUCUGUAGGGGCACAGGAGGUGUGUCUCCACCCAAACAGACCCCCCAUCCUGACUUGCCCACUCCUCACGUUCCCAGA
This is a long non-coding RNA of Lemur catta (Ring-tailed lemur), 802 nucleotides long. RefSeq lists it as uncharacterized. The transcript has 3 exons. NCBI's taxonomy places the organism in Eukaryota, Metazoa, Chordata, Mammalia, Primates, Lemuridae. The record is from RefSeq and is a predicted model, not a curated record.